Molecule: transfer RNA, 67 nt
Filed under: Rhodopsalta leptomera
Lineage: Eukaryota; Metazoa; Arthropoda; Insecta; Hemiptera; Cicadidae
Description: tRNA-Pro
Source: RNAcentral
CAGAAAAUAAUUUAUAUAUAAAAUAUAAACUUUGGAAGUUUAAAAUGAUUAUUUCAAUCUUUUCUGA